RNAcentral lists this ribosomal RNA (433 nucleotides) under uncultured bacterium. RNAcentral describes it as "partial 16S ribosomal RNA". It matches the Rfam family "Bacterial small subunit ribosomal RNA", at positions 29 to 507 of the family's 1533-position model. The record is from RNAcentral.
AACGAACGCUGGCGGCAUGCCUAACACAUGCAAGUCGAACGAGACCUUCGGGUCUAGUGGCGCACGGGUGCGUAACGCGUGGGUAUCUGCCCUUGGGUUCGGAAUAACAGUUGGAAACGACUGCUAAUACCGGAUGAUGACGUAAGUCCAAAGAUUUAUCGCCCAAGGAUGAGCCCGCGUAGGAUUAGCUAGUUGGUGAGGUAAAGGCUCACCAAGGCGACGAUCCUUAGCUGGUCUGAGAGGAUGAUCAGCCACACUGGGACUGAGACACGGCCCAGACUCCUACGGGAGGCAGCAGUGGGAAAUAUUGGACAAUGGGCGAAAGCCUGAUCCAGCAAUGCCGCGUGAGUGAUGAAGGCCUUAGGGUUGUAAAGCUCUUUUACCCGGGAUGAUAAUGACAGUACCGGGAGAAUAAGCUCCGGCUAACUCCGUG